RNAcentral lists this ribosomal RNA (403 nucleotides) under uncultured bacterium. Its description in RNAcentral is "bacterial SSU rRNA". It matches the Rfam family "Bacterial small subunit ribosomal RNA", at positions 355 to 774 of the family's 1533-position model. The record is from RNAcentral.
UGGGGAAUCUUGCGCAAUGGGCGAAAGCCUGACGCAGCAAUGCCGCGUGAGGGAAGACGGUCUUAGGAUUGUAAACCUCUUUCAGCAGGGACGAAAACAGACGGUACCUGCAGAAGAAGCCCCGGCUAACUACGUGCCAGCAGCCGCGGUAAUACGUAGGGGGCAAGCGUUGUCCGGAAUCAUUGGGCGUAAAGAGCGUGUAGGUGGACUGGAAGGUCUGGUGUGAAAGCCCGGGGCUCAACCCCGGAGGGUCACUGGAAACCAACAGUCUUGAGUCCGGAAGAGGAGAGUGGAAUUCCUAGUGUAGCGGUGGAAUGCGCAGAUAUUAGGAGGAACACCAAUGGCGAAGGCAGCUCUCUGGUACGUGACUGACACUGAGACGCGAAAGCGUGGGGAGCGAACA